GGGUCAGGGCUACAGCAGACCCUGAAAGCUGAGAAACACCCCACACACUCACACCAAGUGAGGAGAGGCUGCCAAGGAAAGGGAGGGACAGAACAAGGAGAGAGAAGAAAGGAGGGGCUGCCUGGCCGGGCUGCUGUCCCCCCUACAGAGCCAGCUCAGAUUCAGUUCCAGGAGCAGCUUGGCUGCGGAAGCAACGGCAGUCCCUCUCCACCAGGGAAGGGCAGCGGGCGGACCGGCACACAGACAGAGGGUCUGGGACUGGAAGUCCUCAGCUCCCAGCCUCUCGGCCAGGCCUGGCCCCAUGGCCUUCAAUGACCUCCUGCUGCAGGUGGGGGGCGCCGGCCGCUUCCAGCAGAUCCAGGUCACUCUGGUGGUCCUCCCCCUGCUCCUGAUGGCCUCCCACAACACCCUGCAGAACUUCACCGCCGCUGUCCCCACCCACCACUGCCGCCCGCCUGCCGACACCAACCUCAGCAAGGACGGAGAGCUGGACGCCUGGCUGCCCCGGGACAGGCAGGGCCGGCCCGAGUCCUGCCUCCGCUUCACCUCCCCCCAGCGGGGGCUGCCCUUUCCCAACGGCACAGAGACCAAUGGCACGGGGGCCACAGAGCCCUGCACCCACGGCUGGAUCUAUGACAAUAGCACCUUCCCUUCCACCAUCGUGAUGGAGUGGGACCUCGUGUGUUCUCGUAGGGCCUUACGCCAGCUGGCUCAGUCCUUGUACAUGGUAGGGGUGCUUCUCGGAGCCAUGAUAUUCGGGCACCUGGCAGACAGGCUGGGCCGCCGGAAGGUGCUCAUCUUGAACUACCUGCAGACGGCUGUGUCAGGAACCUGCACCGCCUUUGCUCCCAGCUUCCCCGUCUACUGCGCCUUCCGGCUCCUCUCGGGCAUGUCGCUGGCUGGCAUUUCCCUCAACUGCAUGACACUGAAUGUGGAGUGGAUGCCCAUCCACACGCGGGCCUGUGUGGGCACCCUGAUUGGCUAUGUCUACAGCCUGGGCCAGUUUCUCCUGGCUGGUGUGGCCUAUGCUGUGCCCCACUGGCGCUACCUGCAGCUGCUGGUCUCCGUGCCCUUUUUUGCCUUCUUCAUCUACUCCUGGUUCUUCAUCGAGUCGGCCCGCUGGUACUCCUCCUCUGGGAGGCUGGACCUCACCCUGAAGGCCCUGCAAAGAGUGGCCUGGAUCAAUGGGAAGCGGGAAGAGGGGGCCAGUCUAAGUAUGGAGGUGCUCCGGGCCAGUCUGCAGAAGGAGCUGACCCUGGGCAAGGGCCAGGCCUCGGCCAUGGAGCUGCUGCGCUGUCCUGCUCUUCGCCGCCUCUUCCUCUGCCUCUCCAUGCUGUGGUUUGCCACUAGCUUUGCCUACUAUGGGCUGGUCAUGGACCUGCAGGGUUUUGGGGUCAGCAUCUACCUAAUCCAGGUGAUCUUUGGUGCUGUGGACCUGCCUGCCAAGCUUGUGGGCUUCCUUGUCAUCAACUCUAUGGGCCGCCGGCCUGCCCAGAUGGCCUCACUGCUGCUGGCAGGCGUCUGCAUCCUGAUCAAUGGGGUGGUACCCCAGGAUCAGUCCAUUGUCCGAACCUCCCUUGCUGUGCUGGGGAAGGGCUGCCUGGCCGCCUCCUUCAACUGCAUCUUCCUGUACACUGGGGAGCUGUACCCCACAGUGAUCCGGCAGACAGGCUUGGGAAUGGGCAGCACUCUGGCGCGAGUGGGCAGCAUUGUGAGCCCACUGGUGAGCAUGACCGCCGAGAUCUACCCCUCCGUGCCUCUCUUUAUCUACGGCGCUGUCCCCGUGGCCGCCAGCGCUGCCACUGUCUUCCUGCCGGAGACCCUGGGCCAGCCACUGCCAGACACAGUGCAGGACGUGGAAAACAGGAGGAGAGGAAAGAGGAGGCAGCAGCGACAGGAGCGAAAGCAGAUGGUCCCGCUCCAGGCCUCAGCACAAGCGAAGGACGGACUCUGAGCGCUGAAAAGGAGCCUUACAGAGCCCUAAAGGAAGACAGGGUCCUACAGGAUCCUCCCUCUCUGUGAAAGCUCCUGGGAACUUCUGGCAGCAAAGGAGGAGAAAAGAGAGCAGCUGUGACGUCAGGAUCCUGAUCCCUGCUCCUCUGGAUUCCAGCAGGGUCUGGACUCAAAACCAGUUUGCCACUUCCAGCUGUGCACCUGGAGAUUCAGCCUGCUAGCUAUCCUAACCCUCCACACUGCGCUUCCCGGCCUUUCUUUGCUGCUCUGCCUCCAGCGGGCCCUGGGUUGGUGGAGGGGAAGGAGGAGAAAAAGGGAGGGUGGAACCCAGCCAGAGAGCCACCUCUGAGUGCUAAUUUGGUGCCAGGCACAGUCCUAAGCACUUUGCAUGUAUUAACGCAUUCAGUCCUCCCAGGAGCCUUCUAGAGAUAAGUGCUAGGAUUAUCCCCAUUUUACAGGGAAGGAGAUCAAGGCACAGAGUGGCUAAGUAACUUGCCCUAAUUCACACAGCUGUUAAAUUGCAGAGUCAGGGUUAGAAGCAGACCACGUGGAAUGUGUGUGCCAGGACAUCCCCCCUCCCCACAAAAUGCCCCGGGGGCUGUGAGGCACUGAGACUUUGGCCUCUUCCACCCCCAGGGCUGUGCUUCUACUCCUCCCUCCUGAGCUGAA
Delphinapterus leucas (beluga whale) is the source of this 2622-nucleotide non-coding RNA. Lineage: Eukaryota; Metazoa; Chordata; Mammalia; Artiodactyla; Monodontidae. The record is from RefSeq and is a predicted model, not a curated record.